CCUACGGGAGGCAGCAGUGGGGAAUAUUGGUCAAUGGCCGGGAGCCUGAACCAGCCAAGCCGCGUGAAGGAUGACUGCCCUAUGCGUUGUAAACUUCUUUUGUAAAGGAAUAAAAUGAGGCACGCGUGCCUGUUUGCAGGUACUUUAUGAAUAAGAAUCGGCUAACUCCGUGCCAGCAGCCGCGGUAAUACGGAGGAUCCGAGCGUUAUCCGGAUUUAUUGGGUUUAAAGGGAGCGUAGAUGGGUUGUUAAGUCAGUGGUGAAAGUUUGCGGCUCAACCGUAAAAUUGCAAUUGAUACUGGCAGUCUUGAGUACAGUUGAGGUAGGCGGAAUUCGUGGUGUAGCGGUGAAAUGCUUAGAUAUCACGAAGAACUCCGAUUGCGAAGGCAGCCUACUAAACUGUGACUGACAUUGAUGCUCGAAAGUGUGGGUAUCAAACAGGAUUAGAUACCCUUGUAGUC
RNAcentral lists this ribosomal RNA (460 nucleotides) under uncultured bacterium. RNAcentral describes it as "partial 16S ribosomal RNA". It matches the Rfam family "Bacterial small subunit ribosomal RNA", at positions 338 to 795 of the family's 1533-position model. The record is from RNAcentral.